Long non-coding RNA from Piliocolobus tephrosceles (Ugandan red Colobus), 951 nucleotides. RefSeq lists it as uncharacterized. The transcript is spliced from 3 exons. Lineage: Eukaryota; Metazoa; Chordata; Mammalia; Primates; Cercopithecidae. The record is from RefSeq and is a predicted model, not a curated record.
UAUGAUUACUCUCAUAAAAACCUAAGUGGUAUUGCAUUAAACAUCUGGUUUUAUAGAUUGCCUUUCUCAGUUAAAAAUAUGUUGGACAUUCAGGUUGUAUUCCGUGCCAUAUGCAGGUAUAUGUGAAUGAGUUUCUGUAGGUUACAUUUAUAGAAAUAGAAUUGCUAAAUCAAAGAAUAUUCACAUUUAAAAUUGUAAAACAUGAAUAAGGUGAUACACUGCCUUCCAGAAGAAUACCAUAUUCAUGUUUUACAGUUUUCUGGUGGAUCCAAUGCAGUCUGGGCCCUUCCUUUUAGGUUGCACUCCAGGACUUGCAGACGAACUCCAAGAUUGGGGCGCUCCUGCCUUACUUUGUUUAUGUGGUUAGUGGGGUGAAAUCUGUAAGUCAUGACCUGGAGCAACUGCACCGGCUGCUGCAGGUGGCACGGAGCCUGUUUCGGAAUCCACACCUGUGCUUGGGGCCCUAUGUCCGCUGUCUGGUGGGCAGUGUCCUCUACUGUGUCCUGGAGCCACUGGCUGCCUCCAUCAACCCCCUGAAUGACCACUGGACUCUGCGGGAUGGCGCUGCCCUCCUGCUCAGCCACAUCUUUUGGACGCAUGGGGACCUUGUAAGUGGCCUCUAUCAGCAUAUCCUGCUGUCCCUGCAGAAGAUCCUGGCAGAUCCUGUGCGGCCGCUCUGCUGUCACUAUGGAGCCGUGGUGGGGCUGCAUGCUCUUGGCUGGAAGGUGAGCACCCUGGCUUUUCUCACAGACAGAGCCGUAAGAACUCCCAUUUGUGUUAGAAAAAUAGUACUUGUGUGUCUUUAUCUCCAAAAUGGUGUGUGCCUGCCACUGCAAUGUAUUGAGUUCUGGCCUUAGGCCAGCCUCAGUGAUAGCUUGACUUUCUGUGUGUAAAUGUCUUAUCCUUUCGAAAGUCCUGUGUGACAGAUACUGAUGUCCCCCCAUUUUAUAA